Molecule: long non-coding RNA, 695 nt
Organism: Vicia villosa (hairy vetch)
Lineage: Eukaryota; Viridiplantae; Streptophyta; Magnoliopsida; Fabales; Fabaceae
Exons: 3
Source: RefSeq, a predicted model, not a curated record
AGUCUUUUCUUAACCUUACCAUACUCUCUUUGCUAUCUCUCUACCAUAUUUGCUAUCUCUCUCUACCAUCUUCCAUUUUGAAAACUACACCAUCUUCCACCAUCUUCCAGCAUCUUCCGUCUUUAAGAAAACGACACCAUCUUCCACUAUCUCCCAGCAUCUUCCGAUUCGUUAAUAAAAAUAAAAAGGAUCUAAAGCAAUUAUUCUUAAUCUUUCAAAGUUGUUAUUUUGUUACAAGGUUUGGACCUUUUUUUACAUGGUUCCUUUUUUCAUUUUCGUUACAAUUGUGUUUUAGUUUAUAUUUCAGCUUCACUUACAAGAUUUCUUAUUUUGGGGCUAUGUUUUGAACAUUUAACAUUGUUAUUGUUUAGUUCCUUUUCAGAUGUCAGUGUUUAACCAAAUGAACAUUUCAAGUUUCUUCUUAUGAGGUUUUCUGAUUUUUGAUCUCAAAGCUGAGUCAGCAGGGAUAGAGUUGUUGAGGCUAAAAAUGAAUUGGAGAAGUAAGUGGCAAUCUGAUAAUAUUGAGAUUGUCUUGAAAGUAGUUUUUAAUUGGAAGUCUUGCAAAUAUUUUGUGGGUAGAAUAUUAUAGUAAUAAAAUUAGAUGAUCAUGUAUCAAUGAGGUCUUUUAUUCCAUUUCCAACAAUAGCAUUGGCAAUGGUUAAGGUGGAGAAGUAAGUGUCUAUCUAAUAAUGGUG